Molecule: ribosomal RNA, 768 nt
Filed under: uncultured organism
Description: bacterial SSU rRNA
Rfam family: Bacterial small subunit ribosomal RNA
Source: RNAcentral
CGUGCUUAACACAUGCAAGUCGGAUGCGAACGGCUGCUUCGGGCGUUGAGUAGCAUGGCAGACGGGUGAGGAGCGCGUAUCUGACUGGACUCAGGCUGGGGGAUAGUCCCUCGAAAGGGGGUUGAAUACCGCAUGUGCUCGGUGCUGUGAGGGCAUCGAGGAAAGUUGGCCUCUGCGGGCACGCUGAUGGCCUGAGACAGGGAUGCGUCCUAUUAGCUAGCUGGUGGGGUAAGGGCCUACCAGGGCGACGAUGGGUAGCUGGUCUGAGAGGAUGAUCAGCCACACUGGGACUGCGACACGGCCCAGACUCCUACGGGAGGCAGCAGUGGGGAAUUUUGCGCAAUGGGCGCAAGCCUGACGCAGCAACGCCGCGUGCAUGACGACGCCCUUCGAGGUGUAAAGUGCUGUCGACCGGGACGAAGGGGCGAGGGUGAACAGCUUUCGCGCAUGACGGUACCGGUGGAGGAAGCCCCGGCUAACUCCGUGCCAGCAGACGCGGUAAGACGGAGGGGGCGAGCGUUGUUCGGAAUUACUGGGCGUAAAGCGCGCGUAAGCGGUGCAGCAAGUGGUGCGUGAAAGCCCUCGGCUUAACCGGGGACGGGCGUGCCAAACUGUUGGAACUGGAGUGCCGGAUGGGGACGCGGAAUUCCUGGUGGAGCGGUGAAAUGCGUAGAGAUCAGGAAGAACGUCGGUGGCGAAUGCGAACCCUGGACGGACACUGACGCUUAGGUGCGAAAAGCCGUGGGGGCGAACGGGAUUAGAUAACCC